Eptesicus fuscus (big brown bat) is the source of this 195-nucleotide RNA transcript. RefSeq lists it as uncharacterized. Lineage: Eukaryota; Metazoa; Chordata; Mammalia; Chiroptera; Vespertilionidae. The record is from RefSeq and is a predicted model, not a curated record. The transcript has 3 exons.
UCUCCUGUGGAUCAUGUCGGGGCACACCAGUCAGAUGACCGCAUGGCUGUCUCUGGAUAAUGUGCUUGAAUGGAAAGCCAGAGUGCUUAAAAACCCGCUCUACCUUUAUUCUCGGAGUGGCCCAUUCUAUCUUGGGGUUGACACAUUUUUCCUGAUCAGUGGCUGGUUAAGCGUGAGGUCAUUUUUAAGGAUGCA